RNAcentral lists this ribosomal RNA (150 nucleotides) under uncultured eukaryote. RNAcentral's name for it is "partial small subunit ribosomal RNA". It matches the Rfam family "Eukaryotic small subunit ribosomal RNA", at positions 1651 to 1809 of the family's 1831-position model. The record is from RNAcentral.
CCCUGCCAUUUGUACACACCGCCCGUCGCUCCUACCGAUUGAAUGAUCCGGUGAAAACGUUGGAUCCGGGGUGGCCUCGGCCACGUCUGGAAAAGACGUUUAAACCUUAUCAUUUAGAGGAAGGAGAAGUCGUAACAAGGUUUCCGUAGG